Molecule: long non-coding RNA, 1493 nt
Organism: Poecilia latipinna (sailfin molly)
Lineage: Eukaryota; Metazoa; Chordata; Actinopteri; Cyprinodontiformes; Poeciliidae
Exons: 2
Source: RefSeq, a predicted model, not a curated record
UAGCUUUAGCUUCAGAUAAUCAACAAAAAGGCUGGAAUAUAUUUCACUUUUAAAUGAUCUCAAUUUGUCCACAUUGGGAUUAUUAGAAAACAGAAGUUUUGUGACCAAAUAUGGUUAAAUUAUAUAACAUAUUAUUUUUUUAAGUGAUCUUUUUUUCAAAUCAAAAGAGUCACAACUUUAAGAACUUUAAGUGUAAAGUAUAACUGGUUUUGACGCUGGCAAAAUUAUUUGAACAAUUCAGAUAGUUUUGGUUACUGUAUUUAUUUCUGUAGUAAGUCAUUUAUUCACUUUGCUGUAGAUAUCAAUAAGUGUAAUCAUUUAAAAAAAUCUUGACUGAAAAAUACAGAAAGUGGCAUAGAAAUGUACAAGCACAGAAUACCAAAUUUACAUAAACUCAGUUUUCAAGCUUCCAGGAUAUAGUAGGUUUUUUUUUUCUUUUGUAGAAAUAAUUAAAUAGAUAAAUAAAAAUUCGCAAAACAGUUGAGAUAUUUUACCAGUAAUGAUUGUAAAACAAUGGAAAGCAUUAAUCCCACUUUUCUGUAAACUCCUGCUGUCCAUGUUUUGCAUAUUAAACUUGAUCUUUACAGUUUAAAUUACAUUUUAUAUUUCUUUUUUUUAUGCAGUUAAUUUUGUAUAUAUUGGAUAUUGAUAAGAUAAUUAGUGCUAGAGGGAAAACAAUGUAGAAACUUUAGGAUUAGUGGAUUGGAUCAAUAAAAUAUAAAAUUCCAAGGUGGUAUUUAUUUAGUUCCUUGUUAUUCAGGAAAAUUUGUCCUAUUGCUGUCAUGAAGAAACAAUUUCAUAUGAUACACAGGACUACGAUACUAACGUGCUUUCUCUUUCUUUUAGGACUUGCAGCUGGAGUACGGCCACGAUUCACCAAGUUUGCUGGGAGGAAACAAAAGCCUUCUCAAGUCUGUCGAGGAGGAACUUCAGCAGAGGUGAGUCCGAGCCUUUUUCUUUUUUUCACUUCUGGUUGGACCGACGUGUUGAACUGCGAGUGUGUAUUUUUACCGCAUUCACUCAUCAGCGAAUCAUUUAACGGCAGGACUAACGGUGCCAAUCACACGCCACUAAUGCCGUCGUAAUAAUGACUUCAGUGCUGUCACGGCUCUCACGUUCCAGGUUCUGCUUCCCUUGUUUGUUUGUUUUUUUUCUUCUUCUGCGGCUUGCUUUGUGCUGCGACUGGAAAAUGCUGAAUUUCUUAGGAGCUUCCUGCAGAGAGCAUGGCUCACACACGCACACACACACACACACACAUGCAAUGAGUCACACAUUUAAAAAUGCAACCGACUUAAUUCUACCAAAACAUACUGACAAGUCCUUGGAGAAAUUCUUAUGCGCUUAAAUGAUAAUUGUUGUUGUCCAUGUGCUUUUUGAUAUUCUGAGAGAUUUUGUGAGCUGCUGGAGAAAACAGUCCCUUUGAAAUAUUAGCUUUUUUUUUUUUUUUUUUUUUCUUCCCAUUUUUAAAAAUGCAGUUUUCUAGUUUGAGGCUC